Molecule: long non-coding RNA, 546 nt
Organism: Phacochoerus africanus (Common warthog)
Lineage: Eukaryota; Metazoa; Chordata; Mammalia; Artiodactyla; Suidae
Exons: 3
Source: RefSeq, a predicted model, not a curated record
AGGACCCAAAGAGCCUUUCCUGCAGGCGCUGCCCUGGCCCCAUUCCCUGCCCAGCCCUUCUCCUUUCCUCAGCCUCUCUUUAGUGUUCAGUCCGCUGGGCUCCCGUUCUCCUUCCCGCAGCCCCUCAAAGCCACCGAACAGUCUUUCAGAGAGACCCUGAUCUCUCCGUCUCAUCCCACCUCCCCCACGCCCUACAGCCCCAGGCCACGGGGACUGCAAGGAGUGAGAAGGGAAGCCCGGGCUCGUCUCCGCGCCUGCGCUUUGGGGAGAGCCUCCCCUCCGCAACAACCCGGCACCGCUAAGCUGCACCCGGACCGUGGGAUGCAGGUAAAAUAUCUUGGAGACCUUUUGAUAUUAGCAUAUACAGAUCUACCUUGUUCUUCUAAACAACUGCAGAGUAGUCUACUUAUGGCUGCACCACAUUGUUUCCUGCUGAUGGGCAUUUGUGUUGUUUCCAGCUUUCAACCAACUGUAAUGGAUAACAGGGUACAAAAAUCCUUGCAUACUUAUCUGCAGGGGGUCAAGUCUGAGCUGUAGCCACCCGCC